Molecule: long non-coding RNA, 317 nt
Organism: Vidua chalybeata
Lineage: Eukaryota; Metazoa; Chordata; Aves; Passeriformes; Viduidae
Exons: 3
Source: RefSeq, a predicted model, not a curated record
CGGGGGUUACACAGAGCAGGUUAUACCGGGGGUCACACGGAGCAGGUCACACCGGGAGUCACACCGGGGGUCACACGGAGGAGCUUAUACCGGGGAUUACACGGAGCAGGUCACACCGGGGGUUACACAGAGCAGAUCAGCUCCUGUGCAGAGAGUUGUGAGUUUAUGAAGCACCUCAGCAGUUUCUGUCACUCUUCCUAGAAGGUGUCACAGGAAAACCUCACUCUUUUGUUCCAAGAAUUCAGUGGCACCCCAGAACGGCAGCGACCUGCUGAGUUGGAUGGCAGCGCCCCUAAAAUGUAAUAAUUCCAAGUUUA